AUACGUAGGGUGCAAGCGUUAAUCGGAAUUACUGGGCGUAAAGCGUGCGCAGGCGGUUUUGUAAGACAGAGGUGAAAUCCCCGGGCUCAACCUGGGAACUGCCUUUGUGACUGCAAGGCUAGAGUACGGCAGAGGGGGGUGGAAUUCCGCGUGUAGAGGUGAAAUGCGUAGAUAUGCGGAGGAACACCGAUGGCGAAGGCAAUCCCCUGGGCCUGUACUGACGCUCAUGCACGAAAGCGUGGGGAGCAAACAGGAUUAGAUACCCUGGUAGUCCACGCCCUAAACGAUGUCAACUGGUUGUUGGGUCUUCAUUGACUCAGUAACGAAGCUAACGCGUGAAGUUGACCGCCUGGGGAGUACGGCCGCAAGGUUGAAACUCAAAUGAAUUGGCGGGG
RNAcentral lists this ribosomal RNA (395 nucleotides) under uncultured bacterium. RNAcentral describes it as "partial 16S ribosomal RNA". It matches the Rfam family "Bacterial small subunit ribosomal RNA", at positions 523 to 918 of the family's 1533-position model. The record is from RNAcentral.